RNAcentral lists this ribosomal RNA (1523 nucleotides) under Bacteroides thetaiotaomicron. Its description in RNAcentral is "bacterial SSU rRNA". It matches the Rfam family "Bacterial small subunit ribosomal RNA". Lineage: Bacteria; Pseudomonadati; Bacteroidota; Bacteroidia; Bacteroidales; Bacteroidaceae. The record is from RNAcentral.
ACAAUGAAGAGUUUGAUCCUGGCUCAGGAUGAACGCUAGCUACAGGCUUAACACAUGCAAGUCGAGGGGCAGCAUUUCAGUUUGCUUGCAAACUGGAGAUGGCGACCGGCGCACGGGUGAGUAACACGUAUCCAACCUGCCGAUAACUCGGGGAUAGCCUUUCGAAAGAAAGAUUAAUACCCGAUGGUAUAAUCAGACCGCAUGGUCUUGUUAUUAAAGAAUUUCGGUUAUCGAUGGGGAUGCGUUCCAUUAGGCAGUUGGUGAGGUAACGGCUCACCAAACCUUCGAUGGAUAGGGGUUCUGAGAGGAAGGUCCCCACAUUGGAACUGAGACACGGUCCAAACUCCUACGGGAGGCAGCAGUGAGGAAUAUUGGUCAAUGGGCGCAGGCCUGAACCAGCCAAGUAGCGUGAAGGAUGACUGCCCUAUGGGUUGUAAACUUCUUUUAUAUGGGAAUAAAGUUUUCCACGUGUGGAAUUUUGUAUGUACCAUAUGAAUAAGGAUCGGCUAACUCCGUGCCAGCAGCCGCGGUAAUACGGAGGAUCCGAGCGUUAUCCGGAUUUAUUGGGUUUAAAGGGAGCGUAGGUGGACAGUUAAGUCAGUUGUGAAAGUUUGCGGCUCAACCGUAAAAUUGCAGUUGAUACUGGCUGUCUUGAGUACAGUAGAGGUGGGCGGAAUUCGUGGUGUAGCGGUGAAAUGCUUAGAUAUCACGAAGAACUCCGAUUGCGAAGGCAGCUCACUGGACUGCAACUGACACUGAUGCUCGAAAGUGUGGGUAUCAAACAGGAUUAGAUACCCUGGUAGUCCACACAGUAAACGAUGAAUACUCGCUGUUUGCGAUAUACAGUAAGCGGCCAAGCGAAAGCAUUAAGUAUUCCACCUGGGGAGUACGCCGGCAACGGUGAAACUCAAAGGAAUUGACGGGGCCCGCACAAGCGGAGGAACAUGUGGUUUAAUUCGAUGAUACGCGAUAACCUUACCCGGGCUUAAAUUGCAUUUGAAUAUAUUGGAAACAGUAUAGCCGUAAGGCAAAUGUGAAGGUGCUGCAUGGUUGUCGUCAGCUCGUGCCGUGAGGUGUCGGCUUAAGUGCCAUAACGAGCGCAACCCUUAUCUUUAGUUACUAACAGGUCAUGCUGAGGACUCUAGAGAGACUGCCGUCGUAAGAUGUGAGGAAGGUGGGGAUGACGUCAAAUCAGCACGGCCCUUACGUCCGGGGCUACACACGUGUUACAAUGGGGGUACAGAAGGCAGCUACCUGGUGACAGGAUGCUAAUCCCAAAAGCCUCUCUCAGUUCGGAUCGAAGUCUGCAACCCGACUUCGUGAAGCUGGAUUCGCUAGUAAUCGCGCAUCAGCCAUGGCGCGGUGAAUACGUUCCCGGGCCUUGUACACACCGCCCGUCAAGCCAUGAAAGCCGGGGAUCUGAAGUACGUAACCGCAAGGAGCGUCCUAGGGUAAAACUGGUAAUUGGGGCUAAGUCGUAACAAGGUAGCCGUACCGGAAGGUGCGGCUGGAACACCUCCUUU